AAAGGAUAAAGAAAAUUGGGGCUGAAGUUCGCUGCUCACCUCCCAACAGAGAUUGAGCAG
This 60-nucleotide non-coding RNA is filed under the name Pongo abelii (Sumatran orangutan). The record is from RNAcentral. Lineage: Eukaryota; Metazoa; Chordata; Mammalia; Primates; Hominidae.